Molecule: small RNA, 233 nt
Filed under: Echinops telfairi (small Madagascar hedgehog)
Lineage: Eukaryota; Metazoa; Chordata; Mammalia; Afrosoricida; Tenrecidae
Description: 7SK RNA (ENSETEG00000024457.1)
Rfam family: 7SK RNA
About the family: 7SK was discovered as an abundant small nuclear RNA in the mid-70s but a possible function has only recently been suggested. Two independent studies have found that 7SK RNA binds the CDK9/cyclin T complex (known as elongation factor P-TEFb).
Source: RNAcentral
GGAUAGGAGGGUGAAAUAGCUGUGACAUGUCACCCCAUUGAUCACUAAGGUUGAUUCGGAUGAUCUGGCUGGCCAGGUGGGUGUCCCCUUCCUCCCUCAUGGCUCCAUGUGCAUCCCUCCUGGAGCUGUGGGCUCAAUUGAAGAGCAUGGCCCUCCCGCCCAAGAACGAUCCAGGGGUAAAGGGGAGCUGUGGAUACCCAGCUACAACCCUCCAACAAGCUGCUCAAUAAUGA